This 465-nucleotide ribosomal RNA is filed under the name uncultured Lactococcus sp. Its description in RNAcentral is "bacterial SSU rRNA". It matches the Rfam family "Bacterial small subunit ribosomal RNA", at positions 338 to 795 of the family's 1533-position model. Lineage: Bacteria; Bacillati; Bacillota; Bacilli; Lactobacillales; Streptococcaceae. The record is from RNAcentral.
CCUACGGGUGGCAGCAGUAGGGAAUCUUCGGCAAUGGACGAAAGUCUGACCGAGCAACGCCGCGUGAGUGAAGAAGGUUUUCGGGUCGUAAAACUCUGUUGGUAGAGAAGAACGUUGGUUGGAGAGUAAAGAUCAUCAAGUCACUGUAACUAUCCCGAAAGGGACGGCUAACUACGUGACAGCAGCCGCGAGAAUACGUAGGUCCCGCGCGUUGCGGGGAUUUAUUGGGCGAAAAGCGAGGGAGGGUGGUUUAUUAGGGCGAGUGUAAAAGGCAGUGGCUAAACCAUUGUAUGCAUUAGAAACUGGUAAGCUUGAGUGCAGGAGAGGAGGGUGGAAUUCCAUGUGUAGCGGUGAAAUGCGUAGAUAUAUGGAGGAACACCGGUGGCGAAAGCGGCUCUCUGGCCUGUAACUGACACUGAGGCUCGAAAGCGUGGGGAGCAAACAGGAUUAGAUACCCUUGUAGUC